GAUAACACACACAAAAGGAAACAGAAUGCCAAUACAUGGACUUACAUCUGACUCCUGUCAAUAACCAAACAAAAGGAAACAGAAUGCCAAUACAUGGACUUACAUCCGACUCCAAAUAAUAGCACACGCUAACCAGCGAACACCAAAGAAAAAGGUUAUCAGAUUGACAAACUAAUAGGGAGUCUGGAACUCGAGCCUAAGAGUUGUCACACAAACACAAAGAGACGUUGAGACGUCG
RNAcentral lists this long non-coding RNA (238 nucleotides) under Lathyrus oleraceus (garden pea). RNAcentral describes it as "Pisum sativum (pea) long non-coding RNA (PSAT_LNC037240)". Lineage: Eukaryota; Viridiplantae; Streptophyta; Magnoliopsida; Fabales; Fabaceae. The record is from RNAcentral.